GCCCUCGUGGCGGAACGGCAGACGCUACGGACUUAAAAUCCGUUGACCGAAAGGUCAUGUGGGUUCGAUUCCCACCGGGGGCA
Molecule: transfer RNA, 83 nt
Filed under: Planctomycetota bacterium
Lineage: Bacteria; Pseudomonadati; Planctomycetota
Description: tRNA-Leu
Rfam family: tRNA
About the family: Transfer RNA (tRNA) molecules are approximately 80 nucleotides in length. Their secondary structure includes four short double-helical elements and three loops (D, anti-codon, and T loops).
Source: RNAcentral